GUGAGGAAUAUUGGUCAAUGGGCGGAAGCCUGAACCAGCCAAGUAGCGUGCAGGAUGACGGCCCUAUGGGUUGUAAACUGCUUUUAUGCGGGGAUAAAAGAAUUCACGUGUGGAUUUUUGCAGGUACCGCAUGAAUAAGGACCGGCUAAUUCCGUGCCAGCAGCCGCGGUAAUACGGAAGGUCCGGGCGUUAUCCGGAUUUAUUGGGUUUAAAGGGAGCGUAGGCCGCCCCUUAAGCGUGUUGUGAAAUGCGGGUGCUCAACAUCCGACUUGCAGCGCGAACUGGGGGGCUUGAGUGCGCCGAAAGUAGGCGGAAUUCGUGGUGUAGCGGUGAAAUGCUUAGAUAUCACGAAGAACUCCGAUUGCGAAGGCAGCUUACUGUAGCGCAACUGACGCUGAUGCUCGAAAGCGUGGGUAUCGAACAGG
RNAcentral lists this ribosomal RNA (425 nucleotides) under uncultured bacterium. RNAcentral describes it as "bacterial SSU rRNA". It matches the Rfam family "Bacterial small subunit ribosomal RNA", at positions 354 to 776 of the family's 1533-position model. The record is from RNAcentral.